UGAUCCCUUUCGUUGUAUGGUGUGCUCGUUUGGGUUGGGCGUCGGCUAAGAGUGCUCGGAGCGUGGAUUAACUCUAGUCUCCUAUCAGUUUGAGUGACAGGUGGUGGUUAUCGUAAGUGAUUGAUUAUGGAAACGUUUCAACUUCAACCCAUAACAGGUGUGUACUAACCCUCGUAAUAGCUUAGAUUAAUAUUUGCUGAGAAGCUGAAAUGCUAAAACACUGGUAUUUUGGGAACUUCUGAUUUUGCCUUUGCUUAAAGUGCGAUAGAUACGAUAUGAUCGGUGGAACAGGUAAGAGCACAAUUUUGUGCACGAUGGGCUAGAAUUAGGCCCAAUGGGCUUUCGGGCCCAUUUGGGUAAAAUUGAUAGAAAAUGGAAUUUGGAAAAGUUGCUUGAUAAGACGGUUAGUACUGUUGUAAAAUUUGGAUUAAGCAGGCAUAGUGGGCUAAAUCGGCAUUCGUAGGGCCCAUUAGAGGUUUUGGGCCCAAAAGCCCAAGUUUGAUAAAGUGGGUUAAAAAUCAUUGUUUAAACACUUAGAAAUAUUGAUAAUUGUUGAUGAACAUGGAAAACCCUAAUAUUUGGUAAAAUUAUGAAAUUACCCUUACAGUAUGAAAAUGACUGUUUUGCCCCUAGGUAAAAAUAACCAUUAUACCCCUAGGGUUUAAUUAUAAAUUUGAUACGUGGGAUAUGAUAUACAUGAUUGAUAUGAUAUGCACAUGAUAUGUAUAAAAUGCACAUGAUAUGUAUGAAAUGCACAUGAUGUAUUCAUAAAUGCAUUGGGUUGGGUUUUUAUAUGGAUGGAGGAAGUGCAAAAGGGCUUAUGCCCCAGUUUAUUGAAAAGGGCUUAUGCCCCAAUUUACCGAAAAGGGCUUAUGCCCAAGUUUAUUGAAAAGGGCUUUGCCUCAGUUUACCGAAAAGGGCUUUGCCCCAGUUAUUAAAAGAGGCAGGGCCUCCAGAUAUAUGAUAAAGAAACUAUGCUGCCAGUGGUGUGUUGGUUGGAUGGGUUGAAUCAUUCCCCACAUGGUGUGUUGGUUGGUACGGGCGGAGAGUAGCGGAUGGUGGGUCGAGUAGUCUCCCCAAAUGGGCUUGCAUACAUUCAUUGGUAUUUCAUAUGAUAUUGAAAUGGGCUUGCAUACAUCCAUUGACAUUACAUGUGAUAUUGAAAUGGGCCUAUGGGCCAUACCGUUUACAGUAAAGGCUUCGGCCUAGUGAAAUGAUUUAUGAAAAGGCUUCGGCCCAGUGAUAUGAUUUAUGAAAAGGCUUCGGCCCAGUGAUAUGAUUUAUGAAAAGGCUUCGGCCUAGUAUAUGUCAAGACUAAAUAGGGCUUUGGCCCAGAUUGUACUGAUACUGUGUUUUUAUUGUUUGUAUGUUAUUGGGAUUACACACUGAGUUUUCGUAAACUCACCCCGUUUCUAACUGUGCAGGUAAUCCCUAAGCUUAGAUGGUUUGGAGCUACGAGGGACUCGGAGAUGGCCACACUACUGUUUCUAUUUCUUUUAAUUGUAAUAAGUAGCCGAUUUAUUUCUUUAUAAGUUUUAUCUUAUUAAUAUUAUUAUUUGGUUUUGGGUUGUAAUAAG
This 1577-nucleotide long non-coding RNA is filed under the name Gossypium barbadense (sea-island cotton). RNAcentral describes it as "long non-coding RNA (GBAR_LNC010628)". Lineage: Eukaryota; Viridiplantae; Streptophyta; Magnoliopsida; Malvales; Malvaceae. The record is from RNAcentral.